GGCCGGUUAGCUCAUUCAGUUGAGCGUGGCGCUAACAACGCCAAGGAGGUGGGUUCGAUUCCUGUUCAGUCCC
Molecule: transfer RNA, 73 nt
Filed under: Apaloderma vittatum (bar-tailed trogon)
Lineage: Eukaryota; Metazoa; Chordata; Aves; Trogoniformes; Trogonidae
Rfam family: tRNA
About the family: Transfer RNA (tRNA) molecules are approximately 80 nucleotides in length.
Source: Rfam by way of RNAcentral